CCUCCUAAGGGUGUGUAACUUCAUGAGGAAAAGAUGAUCACGAUGAAAAAACAUCUGGAUGUGUCUGUUACAUGCUCCAGAAUUGCAUAGCCUCCAGCCCAGAAGGAUUCUUCCUAUACAGCCUCUGCUGUCUCCUCUACUCACCCCGGUGCUUCUUGCUCUCCUUGGACUGGGGAAAAUGGGGAAGGAGGAAAGAAAAGAAGAAAGUUCCAUCCUAGUUGACCCAUGCUUUAGACUCUGGAUUCUCUUCAAAUCUUGACCCAUGCAGUUACUUGUAUUUGUAUAGCACACGUACUGGUGUGGUGGGCUCACUUGAAAGUCCUUUACGGGCUUCUCAGAAGACUUCUGUGGACAACCAAUCACCACCCAAAUGUUUCACUCUGGUCUGACAGGUGUGGGACAUGCACUUCUUGGAUGUUGCAGUCUGAGCUGGUUAGUUUUAGCUAUCCCUUGACACAACCUAAAAUCACCUGGAAAAGAGUUUUAAUGAGGAAUUAUCUAGAUCAGGUUAACUUCUGGACAUGUCUGUGGGGGUUUUGAUUCUUAGUUGAUGUAGGAAGACCCUGUCCACUGUGGGUGACAUCCCUAUGGUGGGCCCUGAACUGUUUAAGAAUGAAAAAAGCUAGCUAGCCAAUUAGCAAGUAGAGCUGUGCUUAUUCUCUCCUUGCUAAGAAUGAGACGUGACCAGCUCCUUGGUUUCCUACAUUGACUCCCUUGAAAUGAUGGACUAGGAAUUAUAAUAAAAAUAAAUCUUUUUCUCUUGU
Long non-coding RNA from Nannospalax galili (Upper Galilee mountains blind mole rat), 764 nucleotides. RefSeq lists it as uncharacterized. The transcript is spliced from 2 exons. The record is from RefSeq and is a predicted model, not a curated record. NCBI's taxonomy places the organism in Eukaryota, Metazoa, Chordata, Mammalia, Rodentia, Spalacidae.